CAACAUUGCAGCUCUAACCACAGCUCUAUAAAAGUUCCCCUUGAGUUUCUGUGGAACUUUCUUUUCACACAGGACUCCUGAUGCAAGCCUCCACUUUGACCAUCCCGCUCCUAUGCGAUGUGUGACGUCCCCGUCAAUUUUUCCGUCCCCCUGAAUCACUGACCCAAGAUAUCUGACAUUGUCCCUCUUGGCGAUGACCUGAGAUCCAAUCAUCACGUCUCUGCCUACUUCGCUCGGCUNN
This 241-nucleotide long non-coding RNA is filed under the name Nicotiana benthamiana. RNAcentral describes it as "long non-coding RNA (NBEN_LNC018673)". The record is from RNAcentral. Lineage: Eukaryota; Viridiplantae; Streptophyta; Magnoliopsida; Solanales; Solanaceae.